UAAGUUUUAUUCUUAUUUUAGUGCUUUGUUAAUUUAUUUUAUUUAAAUUAAUUUAUAUAGAAGGGGUAAAAGAAAUGUUUGAUUUCAGCUUAAUUUUUUACGUUAUUAUUAAAAUUGUAUGAAAGCUAAGGCGUGAUAUAAAUAAUUUAAUUAAAUAUUAAAUUAGUUAAAAAGUAAAGGUAAAUUAUGAAACUUUAUAGUCUCAGCAUAAAAUAUUAUAAGCAAUAUAUUAAAGUAUGAUAUAGUAGUAAUAAUCUAAGUCUGAUUAAUAUUUGUGCCAGCAUUCGCGGUUAUACUUUAAGAUUAAGUAAAAAUUCAAGGUUAUAGUUAAAUAGGUAAUUAAUAAAAUAUAUAAGUAAUAAAGGGUAAAAUCGGAAUAUUAUUUUGUAUAAAAAAAAAAUUCUAAUUGAAGCUAAAAAAGUUUAGUAAUAAACUAGGAUUAGAUACCCUAUUAUUCUAAAAUAAAAUAAUCUAGACCAAAUUAGUAAGAGAUAAAUACUUAAAAUUUAAAAAAUUUGGCGGCAAUUUAAUCUUUUCAGAGGAACCUGUUUUGUAAUCGAUAAACCACGAAAAAUCUUACUUGUUCUUGUAAAUAAAACAGUUUGUAUACCAUCAUUAUCAGAUAAUUCUUAGAGGAGAAAUUAUUAAAUUUGGUUGUUUAGUUAAAUUAGAUCAU
RNAcentral lists this ribosomal RNA (676 nucleotides) under Helice latimera. RNAcentral's name for it is "partial 12S ribosomal RNA". Lineage: Eukaryota; Metazoa; Arthropoda; Malacostraca; Decapoda; Varunidae. The record is from RNAcentral.